GCGUCCAUAGCUUAGUGGUAAAGCACUGCUCUGUGGAGGCAGCUAUGAGGGUUCGAUCCCCUCUGGACGCCCA
RNAcentral lists this transfer RNA (73 nucleotides) under Candidatus Niyogibacteria bacterium CG10_big_fil_rev_8_21_14_0_10_42_19. Its description in RNAcentral is "tRNA-His". It matches the Rfam family "tRNA". Rfam says of the family: Transfer RNA (tRNA) molecules are approximately 80 nucleotides in length. Lineage: Bacteria; Candidatus Niyogiibacteriota. The record is from RNAcentral.